Molecule: ribosomal RNA, 253 nt
Filed under: uncultured bacterium
Lineage: Bacteria
Description: partial 16S ribosomal RNA
Rfam family: Bacterial small subunit ribosomal RNA
Source: RNAcentral
AACGUAGGUGGCGAGCGUUAUCCGGAAUUACUGGGCGUAAAGCGUGCGCAGGCGGUUUUGUAAGCCGGAUGUGAAAUCCCCGGGCUUAACCUGGGAAUGGCAUUCGGGACUGCAAGGCUGGAGUGCGGCAGAGGAGACUGGAAUUCAUGGUGUAGCAGUGAAAUGCGUAGAGAUCAUGAGGAAGACCAGUGGCGAAGGCGGGUCUCUGGACAGUUCCUGACACUGAGGCACGAAGGUCAGGGGAGCAAACGGG